UUGCACAAAAUUUAUUUAAAAUCUGGAGGAAAAUUGCCCCAUGUGCAAUAGCAGCCUCCUUGGUAGUGCAUGCAGCCUGCUGCUUGUAUGGGUUGCCCUAGGGGACCUUGGAGAUGGCC
This 119-nucleotide small nucleolar RNA is filed under the name Castor canadensis (American beaver). RNAcentral describes it as "Small nucleolar RNA SNORA70 (ENSCCNG00000018529.1)". It matches the Rfam family "Small nucleolar RNA SNORA70". From Rfam's summary of the family: snoRNA U70 seems to be exclusive to mammals and is a member of the H/ACA class of snoRNA which contain H (ANANNA) and ACA box motifs. Lineage: Eukaryota; Metazoa; Chordata; Mammalia; Rodentia; Castoridae. The record is from Rfam by way of RNAcentral.